RNAcentral lists this ribosomal RNA (2904 nucleotides) under Escherichia coli. RNAcentral describes it as "23S ribosomal RNA". It matches the Rfam family "Bacterial large subunit ribosomal RNA". Lineage: Bacteria; Pseudomonadati; Pseudomonadota; Gammaproteobacteria; Enterobacterales; Enterobacteriaceae. The record is from RNAcentral.
GGUUAAGCGACUAAGCGUACACGGUGGAUGCCCUGGCAGUCAGAGGCGAUGAAGGACGUGCUAAUCUGCGAUAAGCGUCGGUAAGGUGAUAUGAACCGUUAUAACCGGCGAUUUCCGAAUGGGGAAACCCAGUGUGAUUCGUCACACUAUCAUUAACUGAAUCCAUAGGUUAAUGAGGCGAACCGGGGGAACUGAAACAUCUAAGUACCCCGAGGAAAAGAAAUCAACCGAGAUUCCCCCAGUAGCGGCGAGCGAACGGGGAGCAGCCCAGAGCCUGAAUCAGUGUGUGUGUUAGUGGAAGCGUCUGGAAAGGCGCGCGAUACAGGGUGACAGCCCCGUACACAAAAAUGCACAUGCUGUGAGCUCGAUGAGUAGGGCGGGACACGUGGUAUCCUGUCUGAAUAUGGGGGGACCAUCCUCCAAGGCUAAAUACUCCUGACUGACCGAUAGUGAACCAGUACCGUGAGGGAAAGGCGAAAAGAACCCCGGCGAGGGGAGUGAAAAAGAACCUGAAACCGUGUACGUACAAGCAGUGGGAGCACGCUUAGGCGUGUGACUGCGUACCUUUUGUAUAAUGGGUCAGCGACUUAUAUUCUGUAGCAAGGUUAACCGAAUAGGGGAGCCGAAGGGAAACCGAGUCUUAACUGGGCGUUAAGUUGCAGGGUAUAGACCCGAAACCCGGUGAUCUAGCCAUGGGCAGGUUGAAGGUUGGGUAACACUAACUGGAGGACCGAACCGACUAAUGUUGAAAAAUUAGCGGAUGACUUGUGGCUGGGGGUGAAAGGCCAAUCAAACCGGGAGAUAGCUGGUUCUCCCCGAAAGCUAUUUAGGUAGCGCCUCGUGAAUUCAUCUCCGGGGGUAGAGCACUGUUUCGGCAAGGGGGUCAUCCCGACUUACCAACCCGAUGCAAACUGCGAAUACCGGAGAAUGUUAUCACGGGAGACACACGGCGGGUGCUAACGUCCGUCGUGAAGAGGGAAACAACCCAGACCGCCAGCUAAGGUCCCAAAGUCAUGGUUAAGUGGGAAACGAUGUGGGAAGGCCCAGACAGCCAGGAUGUUGGCUUAGAAGCAGCCAUCAUUUAAAGAAAGCGUAAUAGCUCACUGGUCGAGUCGGCCUGCGCGGAAGAUGUAACGGGGCUAAACCAUGCACCGAAGCUGCGGCAGCGACGCUGAUGCGUUGUUGGGUAGGGGAGCGUUCUGUAAGCCUGUGAAGGUGUACUGUGAGGUAUGCUGGAGGUAUCAGAAGUGCGAAUGCUGACAUAAGUAACGAUAAAGCGGGUGAAAAGCCCGCUCGCCGGAAGACCAAGGGUUCCUGUCCAACGUUAAUCGGGGCAGGGUGAGUCGACCCCUAAGGCGAGGCCGAAAGGCGUAGUCGAUGGGAAACAGGUUAAUAUUCCUGUACUUGGUGUUACUGCGAAGGGGGGACGGAGAAGGCUAUGUUGGCCGGGCGACGGUUGUCCCGGUUUAAGCGUGUAGGCUGGUUUUCCAGGCAAAUCCGGAAAAUCAAGGCUGAGGCGUGAUGACGAGGCACUACGGUGCUGAAGCAACAAAUGCCCUGCUUCCAGGAAAAGCCUCUAAGCAUCAGGUAACAUCAAAUCGUACCCCAAACCGACACAGGUGGUCAGGUAGAGAAUACCAAGGCGCUUGAGAGAACUCGGGUGAAGGAACUAGGCAAAAUGGUGCCGUAACUUCGGGAGAAGGCACGCUGAUAUGUAGGUGAAGUCCCUCGCGGAUGGAGCUGAAAUCAGUCGAAGAUACCAGCUGGCUGCAACUGUUUAUUAAAAACACAGCACUGUGCAAACACGAAAGUGGACGUAUACGGUGUGACGCCUGCCCGGUGCCGGAAGGUUAAUUGAUGGGGUCAGCGCAAGCGAAGCUCUUGAUCGAAGCCCCGGUAAACGGCGGCCGUAACUAUAACGGUCCUAAGGUAGCGAAAUUCCUUGUCGGGUAAGUUCCGACCUGCACGAAUGGCGUAAUGAUGGCCAGGCUGUCUCCACCCGAGACUCAGUGAAAUUGAACUCGCUGUGAAGAUGCAGUGUACCCGCGGCAAGACGGAAAGACCCCGUGAACCUUUACUAUAGCUUGACACUGAACAUUGAGCCUUGAUGUGUAGGAUAGGUGGGAGGCUUGGAAGUGUGGACGCCAGUCUGCAUGGAGCCGACCUUGAAAUACCACCCUUUAAUGUUUGAUGUUCUAACGUUGACCCGUAAUCCGGGUUGCGGACAGUGUCUGGUGGGUAGUUUGACUGGGGCGGUCUCCUCCUAAAGAGUAACGGAGGAGCACGAAGGUUGGCUAAUCCUGGUCGGACAUCAGGAGGUUAGUGCAAUGGCAUAAGCCAGCUUGACUGCGAGCGUGACGGCGCGAGCAGGUGCGAAAGCAGGUCAUAGUGAUCCGGUGGUUCUGAAUGGAAGGGCCAUCGCUCAACGGAUAAAAGGUACUCCGGGGAUAACAGGCUGAUACCGCCCAAGAGUUCAUAUCGACGGCGGUGUUUGGCACCUCGAUGUCGGCUCAUCACAUCCUGGGGCUGAAGUAGGUCCCAAGGGUAUGGCUGUUCGCCAUUUAAAGUGGUACGCGAGCUGGGUUUAGAACGUCGUGAGACAGUUCGGUCCCUAUCUGCCGUGGGCGCUGGAGAACUGAGGGGGGCUGCUCCUAGUACGAGAGGACCGGAGUGGACGCAUCACUGGUGUUCGGGUUGUCAUGCCAAUGGCACUGCCCGGUAGCUAAAUGCGGAAGAGAUAAGUGCUGAAAGCAUCUAAGCACGAAACUUGCCCCGAGAUGAGUUCUCCCUGACUCCUUGAGAGUCCUGAAGGAACGUUGAAGACGACGACGUUGAUAGGCCGGGUGUGUAAGCGCAGCGAUGCGUUGAGCUAACCGGUACUAAUGAACCGUGAGGCUUAACCUU